UGGGAAACUGCCUGAUGGAGGGGGAUAACUACUGGAAACGGUAGCUAAUACCGCAUAACGUCGCAAGACCAAAGAGGGGGACCUUCGGGCCUCUUGCCAUCGGAUGUGCCCAGAUGGGAUUAGCUAGUAAGUGGGGUAACGGCUCACCUAGGCGACGAUCCCUAGCUGGUCUGAGAGGAUGACCAGCCACACUGGAACUGAGACACGGUCCAGACUCCUACGGGAGGCAGCAGUGGGGAAUAUUGCACAAUGGGCGCAAGCCUGAUGCAGCCAUGCCGCGUGUAUGAAGAAGGCCUUCGGGUUGUAAAGUACUUUCAGCGGGGAGGAAGGGAGUAAAGUUAAUACCUUUGCUCAUUGACGUUACCCGCAGAAGAAGCACCGGCUAACUCCGUGCCAGCAGCCGCGGUAAUACGGAGGGUGCAAGCGUUAAUCGGAAUUACUGGGCGUAAAGCGCACGCAGGCGGUUUGUUAAGUCAGAUGUGAAAUCCCCGGGCUCAACCUGGGAACUGCAUCUGAUACUGGCAAGCUUGAGUUGUAGAGGGGGUAGAAUUCCAGGUGUAGCGUGAAAUGCGUAGAGAUCUGGAG
This 585-nucleotide ribosomal RNA is filed under the name uncultured Pseudomonadota bacterium. Its description in RNAcentral is "bacterial SSU rRNA". It matches the Rfam family "Bacterial small subunit ribosomal RNA", at positions 118 to 703 of the family's 1533-position model. The record is from RNAcentral. Lineage: Bacteria; Pseudomonadati; Pseudomonadota.